AUGGCAAGGCACCCACAUUCCCGUGAUAUCUUAUCUCUACAUGUGAAAUUAAACACGCAUUAUGUUUAUACAACUCAACAUAAAUAUUUCAAAAGCCCGUGGCAACGCACGGGCAUUAUACUAGUAUAUAUAAAGAGUGAGUAUGGUAGAUAUGUAUCGGUCCUUACAAAAAAAGUCAACCACUGUGAUUGUUUACUUGCACCGAACAGACCUUAUCUGUAUACUAGGAUCCUUGAAUCUCUCAAUCUGUUGAUGCACAUGCAUGCAUGCAUGCAUCGGCCGGUGGAGCAAUUAGCGACUAGAUCUAAUAACUGCCACCCUGGUUAG
Molecule: ribosomal RNA, 327 nt
Filed under: Triticum aestivum (bread wheat)
Lineage: Eukaryota; Viridiplantae; Streptophyta; Magnoliopsida; Poales; Poaceae
Description: partial small subunit ribosomal RNA
Source: RNAcentral